Molecule: unclassified non-coding RNA, 22 nt
Filed under: Mus musculus (house mouse)
Lineage: Eukaryota; Metazoa; Chordata; Mammalia; Rodentia; Muridae
Description: oocyte_clustered_small_RNA13159
Source: RNAcentral
UCAAACUCGGAAAUCCGCUUGC